This 564-nucleotide unclassified non-coding RNA is filed under the name Hevea brasiliensis (rubber tree). Lineage: Eukaryota; Viridiplantae; Streptophyta; Magnoliopsida; Malpighiales; Euphorbiaceae. The record is from RNAcentral.
GUAUAGCAUAAUUACAACAAUUAUGCUAACAGUAGUGAUGAUUAAUGUUGAGAUGAGGGGAUUGGUUGCAUGCUUAUAUAUGUGCCGUCUAUAAUUUAUGGAAUUAUCCCAAAUGAUAUGAUUGUCCGUUGCUUGGUAUAUGUAUGUACGUUUUGGCGCAGCAUGCAUUUUGGGGGAAGGGAAUUGGUGGAGUCGUCGAGCAAGUGCUAUCCCCUUUCUGUCUUUCAGCUACUCUAGUCUUUGCCUUAGAUUCGUGCUUCUGCAUUUUUGAGAGAAAAGUGAGUACUUUCAAUCUUUGUAUUUUUUGCAAGUGGGAUUGCAUGCAAAAGGGUUGUCAUGAGCAAAAAAGGCAUCUGGUGUGCUUGUUUUGGCUAGUAUACAUCAUGUCUUUGAUUCUGUGCUUGAUUACAGUUUACUUGACACCGAUGAUUUGAUUUAUUUAAGUUUGAAUUGCACAACUCUGUAAUGGAGAAUUCGGGGUUGGGUGUUGAUUAUUGUGACAUUCAGAGAGGAUUCUUUGAAGGGACUGACAAUCAAAGGAAAUGCUAGUCUUUAGGGUUAAUU